This is a long non-coding RNA of Stomoxys calcitrans (stable fly), 428 nucleotides long. RefSeq lists it as uncharacterized. The transcript has 2 exons. Lineage: Eukaryota; Metazoa; Arthropoda; Insecta; Diptera; Muscidae. The record is from RefSeq and is a predicted model, not a curated record.
GUUUGCGAUUUUUUUCCCCUUGAGCCACUCAAGUUCGGAAAUUCCUUAUCAGGAUAGAAUGCCGGCAAAGGAUGUAUGUGGUCUUACAAACACAAACCAACGACAUACAGGAAACCCGAAAAUCAUGGGAUCAAAGUGAAAACAAGAAAUUAGCAGAGAGUACAACACAAAAGAAGAAAAAAACGGAAGAUAACAAAAGGUGGGCGUGAAGCGUAACAUAAUGAAAGGAAAAUUGCCAAAAUAAAUAAAGAAAAUAUUUGGCAAAAAUAACAGGCAAAGCAAAUAUGCCGCAAUGAAAAUCUAUUCAAGGAUCUCCUAGAAAUUUCGAACAAUAGCAGCAAAGUUAAUACUUUUAAAUAAAAGAACAUAAAACAAUGCCAUAGAGACCGAUUUUAUUAAAUUAAUAAACUGUAGGAUAAGUCCUUAAA